GGAGGCAGCAGUGGGGAAUAUUGCACAAUGGGCGCAAGCCUGAUGCAGCCAUGCCGCGUGUAUGAAGAAGGCCUUCGGGUUGUAAAGUACUUUCAGCGAGGAGGAAGGCGUUAAGGUUAAUAACCUUAGCGAUUGACGUUACUCGCAGAAGAAGCACCGGCUAACUCCGUGCCAGCAGCCGCGGUAAUACGGAGGGUGCAAGCGUUAAUCGGAAUUACUGGGCGUAAAGCGCACGCAGGCGGUCUGUCAAGUCGGAU
Molecule: ribosomal RNA, 257 nt
Filed under: Klebsiella aerogenes
Lineage: Bacteria; Pseudomonadati; Pseudomonadota; Gammaproteobacteria; Enterobacterales; Enterobacteriaceae
Description: partial 16S ribosomal RNA
Rfam family: Bacterial small subunit ribosomal RNA
Source: RNAcentral